UAAAAAUUCAAAUUUCAGAUGUUUACAGAGGCACAAAGACUAAGAACCCUAAGACAGAAACAUCUUCAUGUUUUCUCUCUCCACAAUCACCACCACCAUGCUCAGAGUUGUUUUUUCAUAUGGUCAUUCUUCCAAACUGGGUUUUUCUUCUUUGAUUCCACGGCCUUUUUCAGUUGUAUCUCAGCCUCGCUCUCAUCUCCAUCUCCCUUCUCAUCAUUUUGAUAUUGCAUCUCACUGAAAUUAAAUAUCAGAUUGUUAUGCUCCCUUAUACUAUUUCCUAUUUGUUGCGAUUCUAGUUCCAUCUCGAGUUUCUCCAAACCUCUGUACUGGUUCCAGAUAUGCGAAAUUUUCAUAUGGGUUCUGAUUGAACAUGAUCAGUGGAUUUCGCAUGGACAUUAGAAGCAAAGCCAGAGUAAACUGAUACUUUGUUUCAUCCAAACCCGAGUGAAUAUGGAAGGUUCUGCUCCUUCGAAGUGUGUAAGAUUAUAUUUGACUGUCGUGUGGUGGUCAUAUUGUCUCUAGUAUCAUGUGUUCUUUGCAUCCAUGCUUCCGUAAAUGCAACAUUGUCCACAAAUCUUUGUCCAAACAAUCUUAAAGUAACGACAGCUAUGGCGACGAAGCUGUUUUCUCCAGCGUUGUCUUGUCCAUGGAUACUUCAAGAGAUGUAGUACUCCACGAUACUGUGAGACGAAACAAAACGAAACAGAGUAUCCCCUGUCACUGCCAUGGUUGUGGAGCCUCUUAAUGCUGCGAUUCAGAUUCAUCAAUCAUGUAAGCUCAUUUAGAAGAAAGUUUUGAGGUUUUUGAUAUGGUUUUAGUUUAGUAGGCUGUGUUCACACAUUUUUUCAAGAAAUCCUGUCCACAAUACAUCUUGUCCACAAUACCUUGAACAUAUGUUUCCCUUGAUUAAAAGCUUAAUGAAGAUGAAGAGUUGAUUUUUAUGGCUUA
Raphanus sativus (radish) is the source of this 948-nucleotide long non-coding RNA. RefSeq lists it as uncharacterized. NCBI's taxonomy places the organism in Eukaryota, Viridiplantae, Streptophyta, Magnoliopsida, Brassicales, Brassicaceae. The record is from RefSeq and is a predicted model, not a curated record. The transcript is spliced from 2 exons.